This 424-nucleotide ribosomal RNA is filed under the name uncultured bacterium. RNAcentral describes it as "partial 16S ribosomal RNA". It matches the Rfam family "Bacterial small subunit ribosomal RNA", at positions 360 to 776 of the family's 1533-position model. The record is from RNAcentral.
AAUUUUGGACAAUGGGCGCAAGCCUGAUCCAGCCAUGCCGCGUGAGUGAAGAAGGCCUUCGGGUUGUAAAGCUCUUUCGGACGGAAAGAAAUCGCGCAGGCUAAUACCCUGCGCGGAUGACGGUACCGUCAUAAGAAGCACCGGCUACCUACGUGCCAGCAGCCGCGGUAAUACGUAGGGUGCGAGUGUUAAUCGGAAUUACUGGGCGUAAAACGGGCGCAGGCGGGUGAAUAAGACAGGCGUGAAAUCCCCGGGCUUAACCCGGGAACCGCGCUUGUGACUGGGCAGCUAGAGUACGGCAGGGGGGGGGGGAAUUCCACGUGUAGCAGGGAAAUGCGUAGAGAUGUGGAGGAACACCGAUGGCGAAGGCAGCCCCCUGGGCCGAUACUGACGCCCAUGCACGAAAGCGUGGGUAGCAAACAGG